GGAGAGGUGGCUGAGUGGUUGAAAGCAACAUCCUGCUAAGAUGUUAGGCCCGUAAGGGCCUCGAGGGUUCGAAUCCCUCCCUCUCCG
RNAcentral lists this transfer RNA (87 nucleotides) under Candidatus Spechtiibacteriota bacterium. RNAcentral's name for it is "tRNA-Ser". It matches the Rfam family "tRNA". Rfam says of the family: Transfer RNA (tRNA) molecules are approximately 80 nucleotides in length. The record is from RNAcentral. Lineage: Bacteria; Candidatus Spechtiibacteriota.